RNAcentral lists this unclassified non-coding RNA (269 nucleotides) under fungal sp. RNAcentral's name for it is "partial internal transcribed spacer region". The stretch from base 1 to 46 matches the Rfam family "Eukaryotic small subunit ribosomal RNA", at positions 1786 to 1831 of the family's 1831-position model. The record is from RNAcentral. Lineage: Eukaryota; Fungi.
AAGUCGUAACAAGGUUUCCGUAGGUGAACCUGCGGAAGGAUCAUUAGCGAGAGCCUGCCACGGACGCAAGUCUGUGAGCAAGCGCGCCAUCCUUGUGUUGUGUGUGUUGCCUGUGCACCCGGCAGCGUCUGUGACAAUGUCUGACAAUGUCUGUGACAACGUCGGUGUGCACACGCGCAUUUUCACCCAUUAUUCCCAUUUAUCUAAUGCAACUGCUCAUACUGAGCACAAACAACCGAAAACUGCCAGCAAUGGAUCACUCGGUUCUC